This 585-nucleotide ribosomal RNA is filed under the name bacterium J92(2016). RNAcentral's name for it is "bacterial SSU rRNA". It matches the Rfam family "Bacterial small subunit ribosomal RNA", at positions 143 to 713 of the family's 1533-position model. The record is from RNAcentral.
AUAACUCCGGGAAACCGGGGCUAAUACCGGAUAACAUUUUGAACUGCAUGGUUCGAAAUUGAAAGGCGGCUUCGGCUGUCACUUAUGGAUGGACCCGCGUCGCAUUAGCUAGUUGGUGAGGUAACGGCUCACCAAGGCAACGAUGCGUAGCCGACCUGAGAGGGUGAUCGGCCACACUGGGACUGAGACACGGCCCAGACUCCUACGGGAGGCAGCAGUAGGGAAUCUUCCGCAAUGGACGAAAGUCUGACGGAGCAACGCCGCGUGAGUGAUGAAGGCUUUCGGGUCGUAAAACUCUGUUGUUAGGGAAGAACAAGUGCUAGUUGAAUAAGCUGGCACCUUGACGGUACCUAACCAGAAAGCCACGGCUAACUACGUGCCAGCAGCCGCGGUAAUACGUAGGUGGCAAGCGUUAUCCGGAAUUAUUGGGCGUAAAGCGCGCGCAGGUGGUUUCUUAAGUCUGAUGUGAAAGCCCACGGCUCAACCGUGGAGGGUCAUUGGAAACUGGGAGACUUGAGUGCAGAAGAGGAAAGUGGAAUUCCAUGUGUAGCGGUGAAAUGCGUAGAGAUAUGGAGGAACACCAGU